RNAcentral lists this ribosomal RNA (648 nucleotides) under Pluteus spinulosus. RNAcentral describes it as "eukaryotic LSU rRNA". The stretch from base 255 to 408 matches the Rfam family "5.8S ribosomal RNA". The record is from RNAcentral. Lineage: Eukaryota; Fungi; Basidiomycota; Agaricomycetes; Agaricales; Pluteaceae.
UAAACCAGAGUGGAUUGUGCUGGCCUUUUUGGCAUGUGCACGUUCACCAGUGUUUCAUUCUUUUCUUCUCCACCUGUGCAUUUUUUGUAGGUCUGUGUUGUUAUCUUUCAAGCCCCUUGUGGCUGGGUUUAGAGAAGUUGCUUGCUGAUCCAGUCAGGCUCUUCUUGGACAAUGCAGGCCUAUGUUUUACAUCAACACCUAGAUGAAUGUAAAUGAAUGUGUUUUCAGGCUUUUUGUGCCUUUAAAUUAUAUACAACUUUCAACAACGGAUCUCUUGGUUCUCGCAUCGAUGAAGAACGCAGCGAAAUGCGAUAAGUAAUGUGAAUUGCAGAAUUCAGUGAAUCAUCGAAUCUUUGAACGCACCUUGCGCUCCUUGGUAUUCCGAGGAGCAUGCCUGUUUGAGUGUCAUUAAAUUCUCAAUCCUCAACAGCUUUUUGUUGUUGGGUCAUUGGAUUAUGGGAGCUGCUGGCCAUGUCCGGCUCUCCUUAAAAGCAUUAGCAGGGCAAUAAUGCUGUCUGUCACCUUGGUAUGAUAUUUAUCUAUGCCUUGGGCUGAUGGUGUUCACUUGCUUCUAAUGGUCUUYGUGACAUUUCAUUUUCUGACUCUUGACCUCAAAUCAGGUAGGACUACCCGCUGAACUUAAGCAUA